RNAcentral lists this transfer RNA (55 nucleotides) under Camelus bactrianus (Bactrian camel). It matches the Rfam family "tRNA", at positions 10 to 63 of the family's 71-position model. Rfam says of the family: Transfer RNA (tRNA) molecules are approximately 80 nucleotides in length. Their secondary structure includes four short double-helical elements and three loops (D, anti-codon, and T loops). The record is from Rfam by way of RNAcentral. RNAcentral also lists the same sequence under 2 other names. Lineage: Eukaryota; Metazoa; Chordata; Mammalia; Artiodactyla; Camelidae.
GCUUAGUGGUACAGUGCAUGCUUUGCAUGCUUGAGGUCCUGGGUUCAAUCCCCAG